UUAUUUCUUCUUUUCCUAGUGAUCGCACUAGAGACAAAGUUCUGUCCUGAUGGCGGCGCCGAGGGGAGAGGUCAGAGGUCAAGAGUCAAUUCAACUAAGGUUGCUUAUCGAUGUAAAUAUAUAAACGGGCGACAGCAGAAUAAACGUCAUUUCGCGUUUGUGGACAGGUGGGGGACAGGAGAGGACAGGUGGGGGACAGGAGAGGACAGGUGGGGGACAGGAGAGGGACAGGGGAGGACAGGUGGGGACAGGUGGGGGACAGGUGGGGGACAGGAGAGGACAGGUGGGGGACAGGAGAGGACAGGUGGGGACAGGAGAGGACAGGUGGGGACAGGAGAGGGACAGGUGGGGGACAGGAGAGGACAGGUGGGGGACAGGAGAGGACAGGUGGGGACAGGAGAGGACAGGUGGGGACAGGAGAGGACAGGUGGGGACAGGAGAGGGACAGGUGGGGGACAGGAGAGGGACAGGUGGGGGACAGGGGAGGGACAGGUGGGGGACAGGGGAGGGACAGGGGAGGACAGGUGGGGACAGGAGAGGGACAGGUGGGGGACAGGUGGGGGACAGGAGAGGACAGGUGGGGGACAGGAGAGGACAGGUGGGGGACAGGAGAGGGACAGGGGAGGACAGGUGGGGACAGGAGAGGGACAGGUGGGGGACAGGUGGGGGACAGGAGAGGACAGGUGGGGGACAGGAGAGGACAGGUGGGGACAGGAGAGGACAGGUGGGGACAGGAGAGGGACAGGUGGGGGACAGGAGAGGGACAGGUGGGGGACAGGGGAGGGACAGGUGGGGGACAGGGGAGGGACAGGUGGGGGCAAGGGAGGACAGGUGGGGACAGGAGAGGGACAGGUGGGGGCAGGAGAGGGACAGGUGGGGGCAAGGGAGGACAGGUGGGGGACAGGGGAGGGACAGGUGGGGGACAGGGGAGGGACAGGGGAGGACAGGUGGGGGACAGGUGGAGGACAGGGGAGGAUGUGUGAUCCGCAAGGAUCCAGACCCACGAGGGCCCGGACCCGGCGAGCGGCUGUCGUGUUGGUUUGGACAAAUAAAACAAAAGCUACACUAACAGUCAUAUUCUGCUCGGUGGUUCUGACCUCUGACCCCUGA
RNAcentral lists this long non-coding RNA (1110 nucleotides) under Cyclopterus lumpus (lumpfish). RNAcentral describes it as "lncRNA (ENSCLMG00005016992.1)". Lineage: Eukaryota; Metazoa; Chordata; Actinopteri; Perciformes; Cyclopteridae. The record is from RNAcentral.